Molecule: ribosomal RNA, 1533 nt
Filed under: Triticum aestivum (bread wheat)
Lineage: Eukaryota; Viridiplantae; Streptophyta; Magnoliopsida; Poales; Poaceae
Description: partial small subunit ribosomal RNA
Source: RNAcentral
AUGGAUGAAUUGGAUUUUACAACUAGGGGCAGGGAUUUUGGCCAGCAGCCUGCAAGGUUGCUUCUAGAUUCCUCUCUCAUUGGGAUUAGAGGGGGGAAUUUAACCGAAUUGCAGUGCACACAGGGUAAAAUUGCUUCUAGCUUGAAUCGUGCUGCUUGGGAGCAGAAUCCAAGUGGAUUUCUUCCGAAGUCGCCUUUCGACCACUAUGCUGUUGCGCGUAAGUUAGCUCUGCCAUGCUUACCAUCACAAGGAAAGUAUCUUGUCCACACAUCACCAAGGAAAGCAUGUCGACCGAGGAGGUGGAGAAGAGUGGGGAGGGAAUUAAGAGUCAAUCCAUUAGAUCUGGAUGUCAAUUUCUUGGUGCUAGCCACUGGCUACUCAUUAGGGAUAGUAUCAAAGAAUUUAGACCAAAGGACAUUAAGUCCCAGCUUUAUUGCAAGCAAAUGCUUAGUGGGGUCAAUGAUAGAUGGACAUCGGAAUGGGAAAAGGAUUAGGGUGAAGGAUUUUGGUUUGGGUGGAGUAGGUUGCAAGACACGUCGAUGGGCUAUUAGGACCAGGGGAGAGGCUUCCUUCGGUGAAUCUUACCUGAUGGCAUCUGAUGCAGGUGAUGCUUUUAGCAACAACAGGCAUCAAACAAUGUCGCUGAGUUAUGAUGGGUCUCAAAGUGAGGAUCGGCAAAGUGAGGAGGUUCAGUCAGCAUACAAAAAGUUCAGUGCAGGGGAUGAGGAUGUGAUAAGGGGUUUUGUAAAUUUGGAUGAAACUGAAGAGCAAAAUGAAGAAAAUGAGUGGAGUUGGGUGCCCCAAGAGGAGGAUCCUCUUGCUGAAUCAGCUUCUUCGCUUGAGAAAGCACAAGAAGUUCUUGAAAAAUUCUUCAAGAAAAAUGAAGAUCUUGAAACUGAGAUGCUGAAAUUGUCAGAACUUGGCAAGGAGUUUGUGGCUGAGGAUUCACAUGAUGGCAACAUAGGUUUGCCUUAUAUAGGGGCUGAUGUACUGGGGAUGAAUCAAAAGAUGGAAUGUCUUGAACUGAAACUGAAAGAAGCGUCAGAUACUAUCACAGAGAAGGAUUCAAGAUUAUCCGAGCUCCAGUCACUUAUCAACAGUGCACAUACACCAACGCUGCAGACGGAGCCCGUCAACGUUGAUGAGUUGGAGACCGAGCUUGAGAGCCACCUUCAGGACAAAAUCGAAGCCGAGAUUCAGUGUCUGGUCAUGGUGAAAGCAAGGCAAAACUGGCAAGCCCGGGCCGAGGACCAGAUUGCCUUGGAGGAGCACAAGCUCUCCGCCGGGGAAGACACAAGGAUGUUGCUCAAGCUACAAGACACGGAGAAGAAGAUCGUGAUGCUGAAGGAGCAGGUGGACAGACUAGAGGCCCACGAGAAGGAGCUGUCGGUGACGACGGAGGUCCUGAGGAUGCAAAGCAAGACCUUCAAAAUCGGCCUCUUCGGUCUCCUCCAGCUGAUCAUGCUGUGCCUUUCCCUCAAGAUGUUCUUCGCCCAGGACUCUGCCCGCUUCGGCGAUCUCGUGCCGACAUGA